This 299-nucleotide signal recognition particle RNA is filed under the name Canis lupus familiaris (dog). Its description in RNAcentral is "7S RNA from Canis lupus familiaris (PDB 4UE5, chain A)". It matches the Rfam family "Metazoan signal recognition particle RNA". From Rfam's summary of the family: The signal recognition particle (SRP) is a universally conserved ribonucleoprotein. It is involved in the co-translational targeting of proteins to membranes. The eukaryotic SRP consists of a 300-nucleotide 7S RNA and six proteins: SRPs 72, 68, 54, 19, 14, and 9. The record is from RNAcentral. Lineage: Eukaryota; Metazoa; Chordata; Mammalia; Carnivora; Canidae.
GCCGGGCGCGGUGGCGCGCGCCUGUAGUCCCAGCUACUCGGGAGGCUGAGGCAGGAGGAUCGCUUGAGCCCAGGAGUUCUGGGCUGCAGUGCGCUAUGCCGAUCGGGUGUCCGCACUAAGUUCGGCAUCAAUAUGGUGACCUCCCGGGAGCGGGGGACCACCAGGUUGCCUAAGGAGGGGUGAACCGGCCCAGGUCGGAAACGGAGCAGGUCAAAACUCCCGUGCUGAUCAGUAGUGGGAUCGCGCCUGUGAAUAGCCACUGCACUCCAGCCUGUGCAACAUAGCGAGACCCCGUCUCU